GUAGGUGGCAAGCGUUGUCCGGAAUUAUUGGGCGUAAAGCGCGCGCAGGUGGGUUCUUUAAGUCUGAUGUGAAAGCCCCCGGGCUCAACCGGGGAGGGUCAUUGGAAACUGGGGAACUUGAGUGCAGGGGAGGAAAGUGGAAUUCCACGUGUAGCGGUGAAAUGCGUAGAUAUGUGGAGGAACACCAGUGGCGAAGGCGACUUUCUGGCCUGUAACUGACACUGAGGCGCGAAAGCGUGGGGAGCAAACAGGAUUAGAUACCCUGGUAGUCCACGCCGUAAACGAUGAGUGCUAAGUGUUGGGGGGUUUCCGCCCCUCAGUGCUGCAGCUAACGCAUUAAGCACUCCGCCUGGGGAGUACGGUCGCAAAGACUG
RNAcentral lists this ribosomal RNA (374 nucleotides) under uncultured organism. Its description in RNAcentral is "partial 16S ribosomal RNA". It matches the Rfam family "Bacterial small subunit ribosomal RNA", at positions 527 to 896 of the family's 1533-position model. The record is from RNAcentral.